GACGAACGCUGGCGGCGUGCUUAACACAUGCAAGUCGAACGGUGAAGCGCCUUCCUUUUUGGUGGGUGUGGAGGAGGGGCGAACGGGGGAGUAACACGUGAGUAACCUGCCCCCUCCUGCUGGAUAACCGCAGGAAAGUGUGGCUAAUACGGGAUAUGCUGGGUCGGUCGCAUGAUGGGUCUGGGAAAGAUAUUGUUUCGGUGGGGGAUGGGCUCGCGGCCUAUCAGGUUGUUGGUGGGGUGAUGGCCUACCAAGGCGGUGAGGAGUUGCCGGCCUGGGAGGGUGGGCGGCCCCACUGGGGCUGCGCCGCGGCCCCGACUACUGCGGGCAGCAGCGGUGGAGAUUAUUGAACAGUGGGCACAAUCCUGCUGCAGCGACGCCGCGGGGGAGAUGGCGGCCUGCGGGUUGUGACCCUCUUUCGCCAGUGAAGCAGGCCUGCCUCGUUUGUGGGUGGGUUGACGGUAGCUGGAGAAGAAGCGCCGGCUAACUACGUG
This 494-nucleotide ribosomal RNA is filed under the name uncultured bacterium. RNAcentral's name for it is "partial 16S ribosomal RNA". It matches the Rfam family "Bacterial small subunit ribosomal RNA", at positions 28 to 507 of the family's 1533-position model. The record is from RNAcentral.